UGCAUGCAGUGGGCAGGAACCCAUGCAAGGCCAUUAAGAAUCUCAAGGAAGUCCCAUGCCAUACUAAUGCUCACAUGGCCAUAGACUUGGGUAUCCCCACCUGAGGAGCAGAGAGAGGGCUGGGGAGAUGGGAUAGAAGGACCAACCCACGGAAGAUAGAGGAGAGGAUGGAAGGGAUGAGACCCAAGUUUGCAGGGGCGUCUGGUCCUAGCAAGCUUCUUGCACUUGGACAUUGAAGCCCUUUCUGGUUAUGAAGGGGAAUAACAAGGAUCAAACGCUUUCAGGAGACUCCUCCUCCAUGGAGCAUUGCUACAUUUUUUUUAGAAAAAUUGUCUUUGAUGAACUUAUUUAAGGUAGAAGCUGAAGAUCAGACCUGGCAGCGCCCAACCCCAGAGGCCUGGAGAAGAGUGGCUGGUUCUCGCCAGACACAUGGAAGCAGAAAGUGGAGAGUGAAGCAAGGACGUGGUCCUGGGGUGUCUCCUUGAUGUGCUCAUUUCUCGGCCAUUAAUUAACUUCACAAAGUGUUUGCAGAAAGUGAAAGGUGUGCACGCCUGUGCACACUCACAGGACUUACCUGGUUUAGGGUCUGGACUGGAUGGAGGGAAACACAAGGUAAAUCUGAAGAGGAAGAGCCACCGAGGACGACAGAAAUUUGUAAGCGGAAAGAAAACGUGGCAGAGAGCGUGGAGCUCACAGCCGCUGGAAUUGAGGUUUGAGUCACUGAUUUCCAAGCCUACCGGCAUGCAGUGCCAAGAGAUAGCCAGGAGGUGGCGCUGCAGCGCUUCAUUUAUCCAGGUUCCGCCGCGGUCUGUGUUUUGAGGUCUUUUGUUACGUUUUAUUUCGGUGUUUUGUUUGCCGUGUGUGUGUGAAUUUUGUGUCUGCACUCCAGUAUUCUGGCCAGGAGAAUCCCAUGGACUGUCUAGUCCAAGGGGUCGCAAAGAGUCGCGGACACGACCGAGCGACUUUCAUUUUCACUUUCCUGUCCUUAAACAACCUGUACCCGCCUACCUUCUUUGCAGCUUCUCUCAGGAUGCUUUUCUUUUUUUUUUUCUUUGAAAUUAAAUCAAAACAAAAAGGGCUGCAAGGAAAGAGUAAGCAAGUGCUAGGUUCAGGAAGGACAGGGUGGUACUGGGAGCAGCUGACCAGAUCCAAGCUUGAUGGAGACCUGGCGUCUGUGGCCAUUGCCCUGCCUGGCCCCUGGGGGUCAUCCUGCUGGCAGGAGAGACCUCAGGUGGACACACCUGUUUGA
Molecule: long non-coding RNA, 1249 nt
Filed under: Cervus hanglu yarkandensis (Yarkand deer)
Lineage: Eukaryota; Metazoa; Chordata; Mammalia; Artiodactyla; Cervidae
Description: lncRNA (ENSCHYG00000015167.1)
Source: RNAcentral